This 838-nucleotide ribosomal RNA is filed under the name uncultured bacterium. RNAcentral's name for it is "bacterial SSU rRNA". It matches the Rfam family "Bacterial small subunit ribosomal RNA", at positions 524 to 1381 of the family's 1533-position model. The record is from RNAcentral.
UACGAGGGAUGCAAGCGUUAUCCGGAAUUAUUGGGCGUAAAGCGUUUGUAAGCGGGCGAGUGUGUUUAAUGUUAAAUCUUAAAGCUCAACUUUGAAAUUGCGUUAAAAACUGCUUGUCUUGAGUAUGGUAGGGGUAAAGGGAAUUCCCAGUGUAGCGGUGAAAUGCGUAGAUAUUGGGAAGAACACUAAACAGCGAAGGCACUUUACUAGGCUAAUACUGACGCUGAGAAACGAAAGGUAAGGUAGCGAAACGGAUUAGAUACCCGUGUAGUCUUACCCGUAAACUAUGGACACUAAACGGUAAAUUUUUAAUUUACUGUUAAAGCUAACGCGUUAAGUGUCCCGCCUGGGGAGUAUGCUUGCAAAAGUGAAACUCAAAGGAAUUGACGGGGGCCCGCACAAGCGGUGGAGCAUGUGGUUUAAUUCGACGGUACACGAAGAACCUUACCAGGAUUUGACAUGCUAGAUAGUUGCUUGAAAGAGUAACGUGCCGUAAGGAAUCUAGACACAGGUGGUGCAUGGCUGUCGUCAGUUCGUGUUGUGAAAUGUUGGGUUAAGUCCCGCAACGAACGCAACCCUUGUCUUUAGUUAUUUUCUAAAGAGACUGCCUGUAAUAAACAGGAGGAAGGUAAGGAUGAGGUCAAGUCAUCAUGCCCCUUAUGUCCUGGGCUACACACGUGCUACAAUGGGAAAGACAAUGAGCUGCAAAUCUGUAAAUUUAAGCAAAUCUCUUAAACUUUCUCGUAGUUCGGAUUGUGGGCUGCAACUCGCCCACAUGAAGUUGGAAUCGCUAGUAAUCGCCAGUCAGCUAUAUGGCGGUGAAUCCGUUCCCGGGCCU